UACGUUAACGAACGAGACCUUAACCUGCUAACUAGUUGCGAGUACGUGAGUAUUCGAGACUUCUUAGAGGGACUGACUAUGCUUAAUAGUCGGAAGUUUGAGGCAAUAACAGGUCUGUGAUGCCCUUAGAUGUUCUGGGCUGCACGCGCGCUACACUGACAAAGUCAGCGAGUACUACCUUGGCCGAGAGGUCUGGGAAAUCUUGUGAAACUUUGUCGUGCUGGGGAUAGAUCAUUGCAAUUAUUGGUCUUGAACGAGGAAUUCCUAGUAAGCGCAAGUCAUCAGCUUGCGUUGAUUACGUCCCUGCCCUUUGUACACACCGCCCGUCGCUAAUACCGAUUGAAUGGCUCG
RNAcentral lists this ribosomal RNA (351 nucleotides) under Eukaryota sp. RNAcentral's name for it is "SSU rRNA". It matches the Rfam family "Eukaryotic small subunit ribosomal RNA", at positions 1324 to 1700 of the family's 1831-position model. The record is from RNAcentral.